GUGUUUCUUCUUCCUCCUCGUCAGAGCUGUCCUCGUCGGAGUCAGAGUCCUCAUCACCCUCCUCACUAUCAUCCUACAAUAAUAUGUGACAACAGUUUCAGUCAAGCAUCAAACUAUUCAUUUCUACCAUGAUAGGCGGUCAUUCACAAUCUCUGCACAUCUACACCAUAAUAGGCAACUAACAAUUUCAUUCAGUGUCAAUCUCUGCAUAUCUACCAUAAUAGGUAGAUUAACAAUUUCAGUCAAGCAUCAAUGUGCACAGAAGGUAGAUUAACAAUUUCAGUCAAGCAUCAAUGUAUUCAUAUAUCUACCAUAAUAGGUAGAUUAACAGUUUCAGUCAAGCAUCAAUUUAUUAAAACAAAAGGUGAUUUAACAAUUUCAUUCAAGCAUCAAUUUAUUCAUAUAUCUUCCACAAAAGGUGAUUUAACAAUUUCAUUCAAGCAUCAAUGUAUUCAUAUAUCUACCCCAAUAGGUAGAUUAACAGUUUCAGUCAAGCAUAAAUGUAUUCAUAUAUCUACCCCAAUGGGUAGAUUAACAGUUUCAGUCAAGCAUCAAUGUAUUCAUAUAUCUACCAUAAUAGGUAGAUUAACAGUUUCAGUCAAGCAUCAAUUUAUUAAAACAAAAGGUGAUUUAACAAUUUCAUUCAAGCAUCAAUGUAUGCAUAUAUCUUCCACAGAAGGUGAUUUAACAAUUUCAGUCAAGCAUCAAUGUAUUCAUAUAUCUACCCCAAUAGGUAGAUUAACAGUUUCAGUCAAGCAUCAAUGUAUUCAUAUAUCUACCCCAAUGGGUAGAUUAACAGUUUCAGUCAAGCAUCAAUGUAUUCAUAUAUCUACCACAAAAGGUGAUUUAACAAUUGCAGUCAAGCAUCAUUCUGUAGAUAUAUAGACCAGGCCGUGACAUAAAGAAAUUAUUGGGUGUCAAUUAACUCACAGAAUCAUCCCCCAUGGGAAUCAAUGCUCCAUCAGCAGAGUCAUCUUCGCUGUCGUCGUCAUCACUGCCAUCAUCAUCACUGUCAUCAUCCUUCUUAGAUUUUCCAAUGUCCUUGGCAGCGGCCUUUGAUUUUGAAGAUCCAGUGUCAAUUAAAACCUGCUUCUUCUGCUCCUUGGCUUCAGGUUUGCCUUGAAAAGGAACAAGAAAUGCAUUGACAAGGGUCAACCCUCCAUUUCC
This 1167-nucleotide long non-coding RNA is filed under the name Hordeum vulgare. Its description in RNAcentral is "long non-coding RNA (HVUL_LNC002478)". The record is from RNAcentral. Lineage: Eukaryota; Viridiplantae; Streptophyta; Magnoliopsida; Poales; Poaceae.